This 459-nucleotide ribosomal RNA is filed under the name uncultured bacterium. RNAcentral's name for it is "partial 16S ribosomal RNA". It matches the Rfam family "Bacterial small subunit ribosomal RNA", at positions 338 to 795 of the family's 1533-position model. The record is from RNAcentral.
CCUACGGGUGGCAGCAGUGAGGAAUAUUGGUCAAUGGGAGAGAUCCUGAACCAGCCAAGCCGCGUGAGGGAAGACGGCCCUAUGGGUUGUAAACCUCUUUUGUCGGAGAACAAAACCCGGGACGUGUCCCGGACUGCGUGUAUCCGAAGAAAAAGCAUCGGCUAACUCCGUUCCAGCAGCCGCGGUAAUACGGAGGAUGCGAGCGUUAUCCGGAUUUAUUGGGUUUAAAGGGUGCGUAGGCGGUCCGUUAAGUCAGCGGGAAAAUUGCGGGGCUAAACCCCGUCGAGCCGUUGAAACUGGCAGACUUGAGUUGGCGAGAAGUACGCGGAAUGCGCGGUGUAGCGGUGAAAUGCAUAGAUAUCGCGCAGAACUCCGAUUGCGAAGGCAGCGUACCGGCGCAAGACUGACGCUGAGGCACGAAAGCGUGGGGAUCGAACAGGAUUAGAUAACCCAGUAGUC